GGAGAGCUAAUAAAUCGAGAGGAAGGGAGCCAAGAUUUGAUCUUCAAGUUUUCUUCAUUUUUAUAGUUCUUUCUUUCUUCGUCUAUGCUUUAGUUUAUCGAAUUCUUGUUGGUUAAUGAUGAAUACUUUUUGAUUUUAUUUAAUGAUAAUCAUGUGUGAUUUUCUGUCAAUGAAUAGCUAGACUUUUUGCUCUAGAACUUAGAUGUAGUCCUUGAUUUUUCUGUGAUCACUUGACGUAACAGAUUGGAUAUUCUUAUUGGUGUAAUUUGAUAUUUUUGGAUUUAAUUCAUGUAAUUAACUGGCCACUAAUUACAUGUUUAAGAUGUUACACGAUGGAUCGAAAGAGGAAGUUUAAUGUUAGUUGGUAAAAACAUCAAACCUUGGCAAUGUUACUUAGAAAUAAGGACAUCCUAUUGUGACCUN
RNAcentral lists this long non-coding RNA (423 nucleotides) under Elaeis guineensis (African oil palm). Its description in RNAcentral is "long non-coding RNA (EGUI_LNC018472)". The record is from RNAcentral. Lineage: Eukaryota; Viridiplantae; Streptophyta; Magnoliopsida; Arecales; Arecaceae.